This 497-nucleotide ribosomal RNA is filed under the name uncultured bacterium. RNAcentral's name for it is "bacterial SSU rRNA". It matches the Rfam family "Bacterial small subunit ribosomal RNA", at positions 28 to 521 of the family's 1533-position model. The record is from RNAcentral.
GACGAACGCUGGCGGCGUGCCUAACACAUGCAAGUCGAACGAAGCUCCCUGACGUAAGACUUCGGUCAAGCUGAUGGGAUGACUUAGUGGCGGACGGGUGAGUAACGCGUGAGGAACCUGCCUUUCAGUGGGGGACAACAGUUGGAAACGACUGCUAAUACCGCAUAAUGUACUUUGGGGGCAUCCCCGAGGUACCAAAGAUUUAUUGCUGAAAGAUGGCCUCGCGUCUGAUUAGAUAGUUGGUGGGGUAACGGCCCACCAAGUCGACGAUCAGUAGCCGGACUGAGAGGUUGAACGGCCACAUUGGGACUGAGAUACGGCCCAGACUCCUACGGGAGGCAGCAGUGGGGAAUAUUGGGCAAUGGGGGAAACCCUGACCCAGCAACGCCGCGUGAAGGAGAAGGCUUUCGGGUUGUAAACUUCUUUUACCAGGGACGAAGGACGUGACGGUACUUGGAGAAAAAGCCAACGGCUAACUACGUGCCAGCAGCCGCGGU